Diachasmimorpha longicaudata is the source of this 3179-nucleotide long non-coding RNA. RefSeq lists it as uncharacterized. The record is from RefSeq and is a predicted model, not a curated record. NCBI's taxonomy places the organism in Eukaryota, Metazoa, Arthropoda, Insecta, Hymenoptera, Braconidae. The transcript is spliced from 3 exons.
GAUCAUCACACCAUAAAUCCCAUCACUUUGGCAUAAGUUUCCAUUUGCUUUUGCUGUCGAUACAGUAAACCUCACAACUAGGGUGACGCUGCUUGAUGUGGGACCACAUGUAGCUCUUCCUCUUCAGCAAAAGACUGCAAUAAGGGCACUGGAAUAUUCCAGGUGUUCCACACUCCAAUUUCCAAUGUCUCUGCAUGUGACACCGAUGUUUGUAACUCUUUCCACAAUUAGGACAAUGAUGUCGUUCCUCCCCCUCCCCCUCAGCAAUAAAAAUAAUGGUCGUUUGCGAUGAUCUCCUUCUCCCUGAAACACCAAAGCCAGUGGUACAUCAUUAGUCCAAUCCUUAAUUAACUCCUCGUCCUGUGACUCAGACAAUAAUUUUCAUGCUCUCAUAACCUCAAAAUAUCAAUUUUAUUAGAAUUUUUUACACAAAACAGUGGACUCCUCGUCACAGCUCAUCACUGGGUGGGGGGAAGUGUGUCAAUGGCGUACAGUGAACAUCCAGGAUGAUGAUUUUUAAUGUGUGAGUACAGAUUGAACUUGUGUUUGCUCCUGGCGUCGCAAUAAGGACAUUGAAAUCUCGGUGGUUUUCCACACUCGUACUGACGAUGUCGAUACAUAUGGGAUCUGUGUUUGUACCCACGAUGACAAUUGGGGCAGAAAAAUUGUUUUUCGGUGUCAUCACAGUUCCUCGGCCUCCAGGACCUCCUGUCCCCCCAGGAUAUCUCCAAUUGUCCUGGAACAUCAACGAAAAUUCAGUCGUUAGUUGGUCGUCUGUCCCUGAGGUGUCACGAGGGUUAUGAUUGAGGUUAGGUCAUUAAAAUCAUUCAGCAUGAUGAUCUUGCAAGUACACACGUACACAAAAUGCAAUGCAAGUGUUGUUAUGGGGAUUUUUAACGUGUAUUAGACGUCUGAUGAUGCCCCAGGUGCUGGAACACGUCGUAAAAUCGUGAGAUCACGACCUGAUUUCAGUGAUUUUUAUGGUAAAAUGAGGGAUGAUCGUCUUCUUGGAGGACCUUGGAGGGUACCUGAUGCCUCCAGAUGAUGUCCUCUGUAUCCUCGUCGAUGAUUAAUUUGUUAUAAACAAUUUAGUGAACGUCAGGAGUCGAAAGAGUGAUUUUUCACGUUUUAUAACCAACAAAAUGAUGAAUUUUCCUGGAACACGAGCACUUGACGAGAUUAUCCCUCAGGGCACAGUAAAAACCGGAAAUCUAAGGACUCCACCUCAUUCAGGACACAUUCACAACAGGAUUCUCGUGUUUAACAACAAAUGUCUCGUCCUGGUGACACCAAAAACACGAAAUUUCAAUUUUUAGGGGUUUUUUUUAUUCAAAUUAACAGCAAUUAAUUCCCUACGACAAUUUCUUCACGUUCACUGGCCUGUCAGGAUGCCACCUCCUGAUGUGCCUGUACACAUUAGACGACGAAUUAUCCUUCUUCGGGCAGUAAGGACACGCGAACUUGAGUGUUUGUCCACACUUGUGCCUCACCAAGUCCCACAUACGUCUGAACCCAGCGUCACAAUGAGGACACAAAUAAGUCGUUGCUGACGUGAUGUCUGGCCAGUACCUUCCGCCAUCUGCAAUAAAAUCCACAAAACAAUUAAUCAAAAUGGCCGCUCACAAUUCAACCUGAGUACGUGGGUGACACACAGGACAGUGAUACAUUAAAUAAUAAAUCUUCAAGAUGCAGAAUGAGUGGAGAUGCUCCAGGUGAUGCGUUUAUUAACAUCAAAUAUCCAAAAUGACAAUGGAAAUCAUCAAAAUAAAUAACGAAAAAUUGUCAGAAAAUAUUGGGCUAAUUUUUGUGAACGAUAACAGGUAAACCGUCAUGCCUCAUUCGUAUGUGUUUGUAAACGUUCGACGAACACUUGUCCUUUUUGUUACAAUAUGGACACUUGAACCUGGGCUCUUUGCCACAGUCGUAUUUGAGAGUGGACUUUCCUCUCGACUACCAUCGAGAUACUCCAGACUGGUCCUGAGGACAUCAAGAAGACCUCCAUCAUGAUGUGGUAGGCCUAGAGCACCUGUUAAACAAUGAGGAAGAACGACCUGGUUAGAUCGAUUGGAACAAAGACUUUAACGUAUUCAGGCAUAAAAAAUAAAACCAUAAAUGAAUAAUAAUGUUGUCUAGCGAUGGAUAAAUCACUUGGGGAUGAUACAAAGGUGGUACCAACGAGGUAGCAAAGAGUAUUCAAUAUUUAUUGUUCAAUAAAACUCCAGGAAUUGUUGUUAAUCUCGAAUCAGUAAAAUUUAAUGCUAAAUCCCUGCAUUCCAGGGUGCCAUCUGGCCACAUGUCGUCGUAUGUUGAAUGCUUUUUUAUCCUUUUUAUCACAGUAAGGACAUCCAUAACGAGGAUCACGACUGCAGACGUAUCUGUAGUGCAUCUCCACAGCAUUUUUCGUCCUGAAGCCUUUGUGACACGUGGGACAGCUCCAGGGUCCCCUGAAUUUAAGAGGAACGAUUGAUAUCUCUGAAAAUGUUAAAAAAAUCGUUAGUCAAUCAUUUCACGAUUAAUUUACUGUUAAUUAAUGGUAAAACAAUGACAAAUGAGCGAACAUUAUGUUCGAGAUAAACGAAUACAGUUGGACAUGGAAUCGAUGAGCUGCACUGGAAGACCAGAAUGACGACUCCUGACGUGUCUGUAGACGUUGGAUCUGAUUGUCGAUGACAUGCUGCAGUAACGACACUUGAAACGUGCGUCUUGUUUGUCUGGGUGCCACCGGGCCACGUGACGACGUAUGUUGACGAUUUUAUUGUCUGUUUUAUCGCAGUAGGGACAGGUGUAAAGGGACUCCUGGGUGAUAUUUAAUCGGCAGUGGAAGUCUGCUGCGGUUUUCGAUUUGAAGGCCCUACGACAUCUGGGACAGCUCCAGGUUCUCCGCGACCUGAUGCGGUCUAUUGGGGUGUCUGGAAAUUCAGAAGAUCGGAGGGUCAAUUUAAUCGCGAUUGAGAGGGUAAUUAAUGAAUUUUAGAAAAUUAGAAGAGGAAAUUUUGGGGGGGGGGAGGAUGUUUUUGGGGGUUUUGGGGGUGUGAAUAUGUUAAUGAGGGGGUUAGUAAGGGGUAAAAUGGUCCUUUUUUGGGGUGACAAAUGUUGUUUGAUGUUAAGUUGAUGAUUUUUGGAUUUUUAUGGUGAGUUUUAUUGUUUAUAACGUGUGAUAUCGAGUUUUUUUCCUGUUU